CUUUGUCUGGCAAUGGCAUAUAACGGUGGUGAAAACCACUCUUCUUCAGAGAGCUUUCUUCCGGCACUUCUAGGCUAGUCCUCAGCUUGGCAUGACGAAAACUUUCUGCUACAGAACGAUUAUCGAUUAUUUGCAUUGAUAAUGGUUAUGGGAAACGGUUAAGUCAAUGGUUGUGUUGGAGCAAAGAAACGAGAGGCCGACUAUUGGGGUGAUGAUUUCAGAGCAACCCAAUGCGAUGGUGCCCAGGUCGCAGUCUCGUGGUGUUCACACCCGCUGUGAUCCCCUCCCUGAGUGUGGCCCAGGGACCCUGUUCUCACUAGCGGAAUUUGGUAAAGUGAUGAUGUGUACAUAAAUACAUCACAGAAGAUCGCAACUCCCGCCUUGCUAGGACACUCUCUCCCUUGCUGGCUUUGAGGAAGCCAGCUGCCAUGCUGUGGGCUGCCCUCUGGAGAGAGCCAUGAGGCAAGGAAGCGAGGGCAGCCCCCAGCCAACAGCCAGCGAAGACCUGAGGCCCUCAGUCAGACAGCCUGCAAGGAACGGAAAUUCCACCAAGGACCACAAGAGCUUGGAAGCGGAUCCUUGCCCAGUCGAGCUUCAGAGGAGACCACAGCCCUGGCCCACACCUGGAUCACGACCUUGCUGAGGACCCGAUUAGGCUUCGCCCAGACUCCUGACCCACAGAAACUGUGAGAUAAGUGUACAUUGUUGUAAACCACUCAGUUUAUCCUGAUUUGUUGCACAGCAACAGAGAAUAGUUUCUUUCUCAGGCUGUAAAGCAACAUAGAAUAGAAAAAGCCCGUUUGACGUGUUUUCAAAUCAGCUGCAGGCAAACAGAAAACGCUCACAGACCUGCACAUUCGCAUCUGUAAGAUCCCAGUGUGAUCAGGACAGUACUGGGGUUGCUCAGAUAUGUGAAAGGUUCUAGAAAAUCCUCUCCCUGGUGCAAGCCCGAAGGCAGAGUCGACGGGGCACUGGGGUGGCUCUCCAGGUCCCACGUGGGCCACUCCGGGCGCUGAGCACGUGGGGCACCGGGAGCCUCGGCGCCCUUGCCAUCACAGGCCAGUCCUAGAGGAGGAGAAGGAGCAGCCCCAGAAAGCGAGCCGGGGCAGAGCCACGUCCCGUCGCCCCUCAGGAGUGCGGCGCCCGGCUUCCUCUGCAACGAGUCUUUGGUGAAACAAAGUUCGCGAAAAGGCGCCUCUGUUUAGAAACAGGUUUCACGUGUGGCCGGAGGAGGAGGCUGGUGGCGAGAGGGGUUCUGGGACACGCUGGGCAGUGAGAGCUACUUACUUGGCCCGUGUCUCUAGAGAGGAGGACGGGGCGGGAUUAAAGGAGAAAGGGGGCUCCCUCCCCACCAUGGAAGGGCAUCCUGAAGCCGUGAGGCCCGUCAUGCUUUGAGGUUCUGGAACAGGAAAAGGGCCCGAAGUCUUCACCUUGAGGACUCGAUGCCGUCUGCGUGCUGCCUCCAAACAGCGAAAAGCAUCGACAAGUCUGACUCCUUCUGAGAAGCGGUGGCAGGGGCGCUGUGGACGGCCCAGAGAGCUUCUGUGCGGAACCGUGGCCAUCUGCUUACUGGUUAUCACAAAGAUCCAGAGGUUUGGAUUCAGGGCCCAUCAGUUACUAGUUCUGCGAUCUGGGACAGGUUGGUAACUACCGUAGGACUCAAUUUUAUCACGCAAAGUAGGAGAUAAUGACCCUUAAGCUCGGGCCGCAGAGGUUUCAGGGGCUAACGCGGGAAGGCACCUGGCGCGGAGCUGGCUCUGGGUCUAGGUCCCGCUCCUGCUGAGCCGACGUCUUUGGCUUAGCAAAUGGGCUUUCCCUUCCCACCGUGUGAGUUGGCUGAUGUUUAUCAAAGUUGAAAUGGGAAGAGCAGCACUUUUAAUUUUUGGCCGUCCCCAUGUGGGACGACUCUGCAUAAAGUGAGUGACUACGUCAGUUCAGAGCAGUGAACACUGUCUGCAGGAGAAACAGCCCCGAAGAAAAGAUCGUGCCCAGAAUGUCACCCUUAAGGCCAUCAUUAGGACUUGAAAAAAAUAUUUGGGAGGCAGUCUUGACAUAACUAUUAUACACAGACAGUUGAAAAGUGAAAUGGAGUGGGACGCCCCACCCGCAGCGCCCUCGGGCCAGACAGAGAUGGUUACUAAGAGAGUUCUGCUCCUUAAGAGGCGUGUCGUCCAACAGAAAUGUGCACUCUGGACAAUUUUUAAGAGGAUGUCUCUCCCUUUGUUGCUUCUGAGAUGAAUUCUAAUAAAACAUGGGGAUGCCAAGAUCAGAACUGCUUCCUUUGGGAGCAGAAAGCCUCGGCGCCAAGUCUGCUUGUGAAGUCCCGUCCCCAAAGGCCAUUUCUUCACGGCAUGCGCCUGUCCUGAUUCACCUGCGUUAAGGUGAUGUUUUCCAAGAGCAAACCCCAAGCACACGGAAUGAGCUCUGGAUGCCACACGACGGGGGCGUGGGACUCAGGUUUAGGGACCACAGAACUGCCCCCGACCCCAGCUGAGCCCCAUGGAAUAAACUCCUUCUCCUGCCGCCAGGAGCACCUGUGAACGCCACCCUCCGGAAAGGCGCCGCCCACAGAGCCGGCCCAGAUGAGGGAGGAGGCAAAGCACCUCUGAUGAGGGCAAUGACAGAAAAGGUGCAAAGUGAGGGGAACGGGAAGAAAGAGAGGGAAAUGUUGUCUGGUACACCAACACUUUCUAGAACCUUGGAACACAAUCUUAAAUCUCAAGCAAAACAUUUACAUCGGCCUUAUUUAUUGCUUACCCAAAUACACCACGUGCCCCUUGUUCAUUCAUUCGACACCUAGUUAUUGACUGGUCCUAGGUAUCGGGAUUGUUCUGAGCACCCGGGAGGCAGCGAUAAACACAACGGGCUGUCUGUGCUCCCUUGAGCUUGUGUUCUCGCGGGUUCAGGUCGGGCCAUCCUGGUUAGCCCAUUCUCUUGAGCAGGCUCCCAAUUCCUUACUUCAAGUUCCUGCUCUGUGAGGGCAGCACAUAGCAUCUUCUGGCCCAUGGCCCAGAUCUGGCACCUGCAGAGGACAUGGAAAGGCAGGUGGAUGGUGAAGAGGAUUAAUUAAAGGGAUGAUCCAUGGCUUUCUGUACGCAUGCUAGCCAGGUUAGAAUUAUUUACGUGGAUGCUUGGGACGUUCCUAUAAUUUAAGCACCACAUCACAGAGUAUCUUAAAGGACAGUUCUCAAUUUUAUUUUAUUUUUCCUCAUGCAAACACUAGGGUGUCUUGUGCUUAAACACCGUAAUUUUCAACAAACGAGCCCCUGCCACUGCUGUGUUGAACACCACCGUAAUUUACUUGUUAGAAUCAGGGAUAAUAACGAGUUCAUCUGAGUGGUAACAACAGCCUGGAAGAAAUGACUCUGAAAGAUGUGUUUAAGGGACCAGGCCGGGGAGGGAGGGGGACUGAGGGAUGUAACUAAAGGCAUUUGGAGGUGAAGUGGAGGGGGCGCUGGGGAGGAGGCUGGAUGGCUUCUGGAACUUUCGAGAGAGCGUGCAUUUUGUCAGAAGCUGAGCAUUUCCAGGUCCUUAGAAAUUACCUGGCAGCCCUCAUUUGACAGAGGGGACAAUCAGUCCAGAGAAGUUAAGUGACAAGGCCACAGAGCUUGUAAGGGCCGCCCUGGGGACAGAUCCCAGGUCUCCGGAUUCUUGGCCCAGUGCCCGUUCAGCUCAGUGGAAGAGUCCAUCACACUCAUCCGCUGUUUCACAGACUCCAACUGAGUCAACCAGUUUCCAGAAAAUCUGGCUAUUUUACGAAUCUCCACUGGGAGAAUUAAUGUAGCAUAUAUUUUGGGCAUAGCACAGUGGUUAAAGAAUUCAAAAUCGACUUAGUGAAAACUGACAGAUUUAUCUAUCUUUUCAUUUUUGGCUCUGCUCGGGGGGUUCUCUCUCGGUGCCAUCCUGCCCCCUAGGGGACACCUGGCAACGUCUGGAGAUACUUUGGGUGGUGACAUCUUGGGGCCGGUGGCGUUCACGGCAUCUAGUGAGCAGAGGCGGAUAUGCAGCUGAACAGAAGCAUCCUACAGGGCACAGGACACCCUCCGCCCUAAACAACGACCGGGCCCCUAACCCUCUCCCCACCCACUGGGCCGGGGCCUCCUCCCGGCAAGGGGACGCGCACAGCCACCUCCCGGGCAUCUUCGCGUCCUCGUCCCACCACUCCCACCACGGAGCCGCCCUGCUCCCCGCCUUCCGGCCCCUUCUGGCCUCUAGGGAGGGCUGUGAGCUCCCACCCUACAAAUGGGGAAACUGAGGCAGGGCGGGCACGGGACGCGGGUCUCGCCGCUCCGAAGGGAGGCGCGGGCCUGGAAGGCGGGGUCUCCUCCGGAGUCCCCGAGGGCGCCCAGCACGAAGCCGGCGCGUGGCGAGCGGCUCGUCUCUCCGGCGCACUCCCACCCGCCUCCCGACUCCGCGAGGUGCUGCGCGGCCAGGGCCCAGCCAAACGGCCUGCGCGGCGGGCCUCCCCGGCGCAUGCGCGCGCGCGGGGCACUGUGGGAGGCUGGCCGCGCGCCCUCAGCGCAACCUGACGCCGGCGCGGUUGUCAGGGCAACGGGGGGGGCGGGGCGGGAGCGAGGCCGCGUGGUCUCCACGUGUUUGUCAGCAGCCGUCCCCUAACUCAGGGAAGCUCCUCCCGCUGGUUCCUUGUUGUCCGUUGGUCCGUUCGCUUCCCGGUUGGACGGAAGCAGAUUUCCUGUCCCCGGGAGCACGUACAGUUGACUCAGUGACGGCCACAGGCGGGCGGAUGCCGCGAUUAGUGAUUAGGAGCCGGUGGAGACUGCCAGCGUCCAUCCUGCUGGCGAUCGCCUGUGCCUUUUCUUUCCUCUUUGCCUCUGAGUGCUUUGUAAUUUAACAGCGUCUGUAAUUUCUCUGAGUUCUCCGGCCAGAUCUCACUUUCGCCAAAUCACGGAUCUGAAUUUCGCAGCAGUGCCUGGGUGGUGACGACCUCCAUUAGGAAGCAUUCUCCACGUGACGAAGGAGUUCACAGCAGGAUUUCCUCGAACAGAAAACUGCCUCGGCGCACCGGCUUCACUUUAUAUAAAAUUCAUCUAGAUACAAGAUCCCCUCCCCCCCAUUUCUUUUUUGUGUGUAAACUGCUGUGUAUGGCUGUGCAGGCUGUGCCUGGCGGAGGGGCUGGGAUCUGAAUCCAGCCUAGGCUCUGUUCCUCUGUGCACUGGAGGACAGUGCACCUUCUAAUUGUCUAUCAGAGUGGGUGCCUUUUUCUGUUUGCGUGAAGUUUCUAAAUGUGCUGGCUACCUUCCUGCAUGUAUUUUUGUAAAUUGAGGUAACAUUGGUUUAUAACAUUAUAUAAAUUUCAGGUGUACAUCAUUAUAUUUCGAUUUUUGUGUAGUUUACAUCGUGUUCACCACCCAAAGGCUGGUUACCACCUGUCACCGUACACAUGUGCCCUAUUACCCCGUUUGCCCUCCCUGCACAUAAUAAUUUUACGGUAACCAGUUGCAUGACUUUGGGGUUUAUGGAACGCUUAUAACAAGGUUUUAUAGUGUGUCAUUCCAUUUUAUCCAGGCCAAGACUUUGUGUGGACCCAAGUCUUUGAUUAAAAUUAAACAUGGUGCGAAGAAGGUCGUGUAGGGUGAGGUGUCAGUUCCUUUUUCUGUGCUCCAUCAGGUUGUCCAGGAACCUAGAUUCCAUCCAUCUUCUUGCUCCUCUGUCUCCUAGGGGUUGUCCUUGCACGCAUGGUAGGAGCUUGCUUGCCUCCACUCCGAGUUCCAGCCUGCGGAAGGGGGAGGAGGAAGCCUAGGGCAAGUGGCUUUGUGUUUAAGGUGAUGACCUCCGAAUUGCUCUCAUGUUUGCUUGAAUCCCAUUGGCUCAGACAUAGUCACGUGGCCACACCUGGCUGCAAGGGCUCCUGAGAAAUGUAGUUUCUAGCUGGAAGCCAUGUGUCCAGCUAAGAUUCGGGCGUUCUAUUACUAACAGGAAUAAAGGGAGAACAGAUGCUGGGGGACAGUUAGCAGUUGUAAGUCCCUCGAGGGUAAGGACUGAGUCACUGAAUUUUUUGAAUAAAUGCAGCAGACAUACAGUAAGUGUUCCUCGAGUGGUUGAUAGAGAGGGUCCUGUUCUAUUUGCUGAGCAGCAUUGCAUAGUGGGGAAGCCUGGGUUUCAGUCUUGCCUGGGAUACUUACUGUGUGACUUUGGCCAGGUGGUCUCAUCACCCAGCCUCAGUUUUUCUAAUCUGCAAAAUGGCUCAUAUACCCGCUUUUCAGAGGGUGUGGGGAGGGUAAACGGUAGAAACAUACAUGAAACUCUUAGCAUGCGCUCAAAACUCUUAGCGUGUGACUUUUCCCCAGACUCUUAGCUGUAGUGAGAAUAUCAUACCUUUUACUUUACAAUAUGCUCUUAAUUCCAGGAAGCUGCACAAAAAUAUAUAGUCAAAGGGAAAAAAGACAAGAGUGUGGAAACGUUAAUGCCACACCUUAUUGCUAUUAGAAAAAGAGGUGGAAACCAGGCCUAUCGUUCAACCUAUUGUGAGCAAGACACUGUGAAUUUUAACGGAAAUAAAAUUUAAAUGCCAUUAACAAAAAGUGAUGUAAACAUCAGAAAGGCAACUUGAGGGAUAUUCUCCAGAAUAGGUGACUAGUACCCUUAACGAGAGUCAAAGUCAAGAAAGAUAAGGAAAACCUGAGGAGCUGCCAGACAGCGGAGGGGACUAAAGAGAUGUGACGAUUAAAUGCACUGGGGGUUCCUGGACCAGAAAAAAGAUAGUAGUGGAAAAGGUGGUGAUAUUGAAAAAAGCCUACAGUUUAGUUAAUAGUAAUGUACCGGUGUUAAUUUCUUAGUUUUGACAAAUGUGGCGUGGUUAGAUAGAUGCUAACAUGGGGGAGCUGGG
RNAcentral lists this long non-coding RNA (6847 nucleotides) under Equus caballus (horse). RNAcentral describes it as "lncRNA (ENSECAG00000044895.1)". Lineage: Eukaryota; Metazoa; Chordata; Mammalia; Perissodactyla; Equidae. The record is from RNAcentral.